Molecule: ribosomal RNA, 253 nt
Filed under: uncultured bacterium
Lineage: Bacteria
Description: partial 16S ribosomal RNA
Rfam family: Bacterial small subunit ribosomal RNA
Source: RNAcentral
GACAGAGGGGGCAAGCGUUGCUCGGAAUCACUGGGCGUAAAGGGCGCGUAGGCGGGAUGGCAAGUUAGUCGUGAAAUCUCUCGGCUCAACCGAGAAACGUCGGCUGAUACUGCCGUUCUUGAGGGAUGCAGAGGAGACUGGAAUUCCCGGUGUAGCGGUGAAAUGUGUAGAGAUCGGGAGGAACACCGGUGGCGAAGGCGGGUCUCUGGGCAUCUCCUGACGCUGAGACGCGAAAGCGUGGGGAGCGAACAGG